Long non-coding RNA from Salvia miltiorrhiza (redroot sage), 299 nucleotides. RefSeq lists it as uncharacterized. Lineage: Eukaryota; Viridiplantae; Streptophyta; Magnoliopsida; Lamiales; Lamiaceae. The record is from RefSeq and is a predicted model, not a curated record. The transcript has 4 exons.
AAUUUGAGCAGAAGACAAAGGAAGCUAAAUCAAAGGUUUUUGAUGCUACAGGCAAGGUGGCACCUCUGGCCGUGUCUGAUGCAGCUAUGCUAGCUCCUGAAGAAGUAUUUUCUGGUAAAGGUGACAUCAAAGAAGAAACUGAGCUAACAAAGGCAGAUAGAAAGAGGAGAAGGGCAAAGAAAAAAAGACAGUUUAAAGCUGAGUCUGUCAAACGGAUGGCAGUAAAGACACAGCUAAGCACAUUGAAGAAACCCGAAGAUGUUGCAGGGAACGGGGAGUCAUGAAUGACACUGUGAAAC